Pseudophryne corroboree (corroboree frog) is the source of this 322-nucleotide long non-coding RNA. RefSeq lists it as uncharacterized. The record is from RefSeq and is a predicted model, not a curated record. Lineage: Eukaryota; Metazoa; Chordata; Amphibia; Anura; Myobatrachidae. The transcript has 2 exons.
GAAAUAUUGAAACGUUGUUCAUACAUCUUUGAAUGACCUUUUAUGUGCUGACAAUAUGUUCUGAAAUGAAGAGAUUUUACCCCUGAUGAAGUCUUGGAACAAGACGAAACGCGUUGGGUUAUUUAUCUAUCUAUUAUCUGAUGUUACCUCCGAAUCUACAAUAAGGAGAAGGAGGAAAUCGUAGUGAUAUAUCUACGCUUUUUCCUCAUCACUACAAACUGAUUGUUCAAAUUGUGCGACAAAUGUAAAUGUAUUAACUCUGUAUACUUAUGAACAUUUGUGUCGGGUUUAUAUGUUGUUUUAAUAAAUUUUUAUGUUAGUA